GCUAAACGCGAAGAACCUUACCUGGCCUUGACAUCCAUGGAAUCCCGAAGAGAUUCGGGAGUGCCGCAAGGAACCAUGAGACAGGUGCUGCAUGGCUGUCGUCAGCUCGUGUCGUGAGAUGUUGGGUUAAGUCCCGCAACGAGCGCAACCCUUGUCCUUAGUUGCCAUCAUUAAGUUGGGAACUCUAAGGAGACCGCCGGUGACAAACCGGAGGAAGGUGGGGAUGACGUCAAGUCAUCAUGGCCUUUAUGGCCAGGGCUACACACGUGCUACAAUGGCAGGUACAGAGGGAAGCCAACCGGCGACGGGGAGCUAAUCCCAGAAACCUUCUCUCAGUCUGGAUCGGAGUCUGCAACUCGACUCCGUGAAGUCGGAAUCGCUAGUAAUCGCAGAUCAGCAUUGCUGCGGUGAAUACGUUCCCGGGUUUUGUACACACCG
Molecule: ribosomal RNA, 438 nt
Filed under: uncultured bacterium
Lineage: Bacteria
Description: bacterial SSU rRNA
Rfam family: Bacterial small subunit ribosomal RNA
Source: RNAcentral